Molecule: long non-coding RNA, 416 nt
Organism: Drosophila montana
Lineage: Eukaryota; Metazoa; Arthropoda; Insecta; Diptera; Drosophilidae
Exons: 2
Source: RefSeq, a predicted model, not a curated record
UUAAAGCUUAAAUGCAGCAACAGCAUGACAAUUGCCGGGAUUUAAAUUCGAAGGCGAUUUGGGGGCGGGAACCGAGUGGCUCUGAGUGCUGAUCGUAAUUGCACAUGCAUGUAAACGACAAUUAAACAACAACAUGCUGCUCUCCGGUCCUGGUUCGGGGUCCUUGCGGACGGCAUGUGUCCUUGAGGCCGAGCUGUCAUUGAAUUGACUGGCCCGCUCUCCACUUGGCUUAAAUGUACUUGCAUCUACGGCUUGGCCAGCACAUAAACUAUCGAUUAGUUGAAUGGGCAAAAAUAGCAGCCAAGUGGCUUGUGGCACUUCGGGCGGACACAGCUGGCAGGUCGCUCUGGCUCAGCCCCGGCUCAGAUGCUACACUGUAUAACAAAUUGAAUUAAAAUUGUAAAUAUCAGAACAAA